UAGGGAAUCUUCCGCAAUGGGCGAAAGCCUGACGGAGCAACGCCGCGUGAGUGAAGAAGGAUUUCGGUUCGUAAAGCUCUGUUGUUAGGGAAGAAUGAUUGUAUAGUAACUAUAUACAGUAGAGACGGUACCUAACCAGAAAGCCACGGCUAACUACGUGCCAGCAGCCGCGGUAAUACGUAGGUGGCAAGCGUUGUCCGGAAUUAUUGGGCGUAAAGCGCGCGCAGGUGGUUUAAUAAGUCUGAUGUGAAAGCCCACGGCUCAACCGUGGAGGGUCAUUGGAAACUGUUAAACUUGAGUGCAGGAGGGAAAAGUGGAAUUCCUAGUGUAGCGGUGAAAUGCGUAGAGAUUAGGAGGAACACCAGUGGCGAAGGCGGCUUUUUGGCCUGUAACUGACACUGAGGCGCGAAAGCGUGGGGAGCAAACAGAAUUAGAUACCCUGGUAGUCCACGCCGUAAACGAUGAGUGCUAAGUGUUGGUCUCAUAAGAGAUCAGUGCUGCAGCUAACGCAUUAAGCACUCCGCCUGGGGAGUACGACCGCAAGGUUG
Molecule: ribosomal RNA, 548 nt
Filed under: uncultured bacterium
Lineage: Bacteria
Description: bacterial SSU rRNA
Rfam family: Bacterial small subunit ribosomal RNA
Source: RNAcentral